Molecule: non-coding RNA, 27 nt
Filed under: Mus musculus (house mouse)
Lineage: Eukaryota; Metazoa; Chordata; Mammalia; Rodentia; Muridae
Source: RNAcentral
UACAGAUCACAAUGGGUUCACUCCCAG